Herpailurus yagouaroundi (jaguarundi) is the source of this 4877-nucleotide RNA transcript. It is a transcript of the gene named intraflagellar transport 81, with no coding region annotated. The transcript has 21 exons. The record is from RefSeq and is a predicted model, not a curated record. NCBI's taxonomy places the organism in Eukaryota, Metazoa, Chordata, Mammalia, Carnivora, Felidae.
UGUGUUUUCCUGGCCUUGGGCCUGUGAAUACAUUUAUUCAGUCUAUGGAAAGAAGUCACUGUUUUGAUGCAGUGGGUAUUCACAGAUGGAAUUAGGCACAGAUAUGUCCUUAUGGAAUUUAUAGUUUAGUAAAGAAGAGAAAAUGUACAUAAAUAAUUAGUACAAAACAGAAAAGUAACUGUAAGAAAGCGGUGCAGAUAAAGUGUGAUUAACUUGGAGGUCAGGGACUGCUGUUAUUCUGACACAGAACAUGGGAGAUAGAGAAUGACUUCCUGGAGGAACGUGCAUUUGGAGGGCAGGGCUUGAAAGACUUAGGAUUUGCACCUGUGGAGAUCAGGCAAGGAACAGGCUUUCUGGGCAAGAAAAAAGAUCAUCUGAAGGCAGAUGUGGAAAAACUAGGGAGCAGUGACUAAUUUCAGUCCGGUGAAGUUUAAAAGAGUGAAAGGUAACAAUUUGGAAAUAAAGUUGGGAAAGCUAAAUUGAGCUAGAUCUUAAAGAGUCUCGAAAUCCAAGAAAUUUGGACUUUGUGAGCAAUGAAAAUCAUACAAAUGAUUUGGAAUAGAAGCGGGGGCCAGAAAACUUGAGGCUGUUACCUUAUUGAAGACACAAGGAAACAUAGGCCUGAAUUACUCAAGGGUGGCAGAGUCGAUGAUGGUGAAGAGUGCUUGGUGGAGGAAACCAGAACAAAACCAAAGAGAGCAUACCUAGGCUAAAGCUUGCAGCAUCCGUUCAGCUUCAGUUGGGUGUGGCUGUGCACAAAUGGGUGCCCAGGGUUGCCAGAUCUUAUUUUGACCAGAAAUUAGGUGUCUGGAUUUUAAUGUAAAAAAAUCGCCCAAUUUUUAAGCAUGGGCUGCUAAUUAAAACAAAAUUAGAAGCAUGUCUGUAGCCUAACAAAUCUUUACCCCUGGGUAGUUGUGGAGCUGAGUGGAAGAGAUGUUAAUAUAGGUGGAAUUUAUUACUCAUUUGUCCAUAUUAAUUCAAUGUUAACUCAGAUGAUUGCUAUCAUACCAGAUGCAUAUAUAAAAACAUUUGGUAUUAAAUAUUAACAGUAUGUACUGUAACAUUCAUAAUAAAGUCUUCAUAUUCUGAUUUCUUUCAGCAAAACAACCCUUUUCUUAGCAUUUUGUGUACUAUGUAGAAUUAUACUUUUCAUGCCUACCUCCUAUAAACUUAAUACUGAUUUUUUUCCAGAAUGUUUAUAACAAGUAUUAAGGAAUUUUAUCUCUAUUUUUAGUUAUAAGACCUAAUUAUGAGCGAUCAAAUCAAAUUCAUUGUGGACAAUCUCAAUAAGGAGCCUUUUAGGAAGAACUAUAAUUUAAUAACAUUUGAUUCCCUGGAGCCAAUGCAACUAUUGCAAAUUCUCAAUGAUGUUCUGGCUGAGAUUGACCCAAAGCAAGUUGUUGAUAUCAGAGAGGAGAUGCCAGAGCAUACAGCCAAAAGGAUGUUGAGCCUUCUUGGUAUCCUUAAAUACAAACCUCCAGGAAAUGCUACAGACAUGAGUACCUUUCGUCAGGGUCUGGUGAUUGGAAGUAAACCUGUAAUUUACCCAGUGCUCCACUGGCUUCUUCAGAGGACUAAUGAACUGAAGAAAAGAGCAUAUUUAGCUCGUUUUUUAAUAAAACUUGAGGUACCAAGUGAGUUUCUUCAGGACGAAACAGUGGCUGAUACCAAUAAACAGUAUGAAGAGCUGAUGGAAGCCUUUAAAACUUUGCAUAAAGAAUGUGAGCAACUCAAGACAUCUGGAUUUUCUACAGCAGAAAUAAGAAGGGAUAUCAGUGCAAUGGAGGAUGAAAAGGAUCAGCUCAUUAAGAGAGUUGAACGUUUGAAGAAAAGGGUGGAGACAGUUCAGAAUCAUCAACGGAUGCUUAAAAUAGCAAGGCAACUUCGAGUUGAAAAAGAGAGAGAAGAAUUUCUUGCACAACAGAAACAGGAACAAAAGAAUCAGCUAUUUCAUGCGGUGCAGAGACUGCAAAGAGUACAAAAUCAGCUGAAAAGUAUGCGCCACACAGCAGCAGAUGCAAAGCCUGAAAGUUUAAUGAAGAGACUAGAGGAAGAGAUAAAGUUUAAUUCUUAUAUGGUAACUGAAAAAUUUCCUAAAGAAUUAGAGAGCAAGAAAAAAGAAUUGCAUUUUCUACAAAAAGUGGUUUCAGAGCCUGCCAUGGGCCAUUCUGAUCUUCUUGAACUAGAAUCUAACAUAAAUGAAAUAAACACACAGAUAAAUCAGCUGAUUGAAAAGAAAAUGAUGAGAAAUGAGCCAAUUGAAGGCAAACUCUCACUAUACAGGCAACAGGCAUCCAUCAUUUCUCGUAAAAAAGAAGCCAAAGCUGAGGAACUUCAGGAAGCGAAGGAGAAGUUAGCCAGCCUAGAGAGAGAGGUAUCAGUGAAGACAAAUCAGACCCGCGAAUUUGAUGGUACUGAAGUUUUGAAGGGAGAUGAGUUCAAACGAUAUGUCAGUAAACUUCGAAGCAAGAGUACAGUUUUCAAAAAGAAGCAUCAAAUAAUAGCUGAAUUUAAAGCUGAAUUUGGCCUCUUGCAGAGGACAGAAGAACUUCUUAAGCAACGGCAUGAAAAUAUUCAACAUCAACUGCGAACUAUUGAAGAGAAAAAGGGCAUAUCUGGAUAUAGUUACACUCAGGAAGAGCUGGAAAGGGUAUCUGCACUGAAGAGUGAAGUCGACGAAAUGAAAGGCCGAACGCUAGAUGACAUGUCUGAAAUGGUAAAAAAACUGAAUUCACUGGUGUCGGAAAAGAAGUCAGCUCUAGCCCCAGUUAUAAAAGAACUACGACAGUUGCGUCAGAAAUGUCAAGAACUAACCCAGGAGUGUGAUGAAAAGAAAUCCCAGUAUGAUAGCUGUGCAGCAGGCCUCGAAAGCAAUCGGUCCAAAUUAGAACAGGAAGUCAGAGGACUCCGUGAAGAAUGUCUUCAGGAAGAAAGUAGAUACCAUUACACAAAUUGUAUGAUUAAGAACCUAGAAGUACAACUUCGUCGUGCUACUGAUGAGAUGAAGGCUUAUGUUUCUUCUGAUCAACAAGAAAAAAGAAAGGCAAUUAGGGAGCAGUAUACAAAAAAUAUUGCUGAACAGGAAAACCUUGGAAAGAAACUCCGAGAAAAACAAAAAGCUGUACGAGAAAGUCAUGGUCCAAAUAUGAAACAAGCGAAAAUGUGGCGUGAUUUUGAACAAUUGAUGGAAUGUAAGAAACAGUGCUUUCUGAAACAACAAAGCCAAACUUCCAUUGGUCAGAAACUCCUCCAACUGCACAAAACUUCUGAACUGUGCUUUUUAAAGAUAUGAAAAAGGAAAAUAUGAUGAUACAUACAAAAUACUCCCAAGACCUGUAGUGCUCAAAGAAGAUUUUAGUGAUGGAAAAGUCUCAGAGAAAAGGAGGCUGGAUCUUAAGAGGAGCCCAAGAUAAAGGUGUGUGUCUGUCCACCAGCUCUACCAAGUGCUAUGCUACACACUUCACUUGAGGAAAGCUGCCUGAGGUGGUAUUUUGGAAGACCUGUGAUAACUCUGAAUCAUGAAACUGGAGGAACAGAACAAAUCACAAGUUAAAACAUACCUAACGUCUGCCAGAAAGUACCCGUUGAGAGCAUCAUUAGCCUGAAGUCUGGAUCUAAUGCACUAAGCCCUUCCCUUCCCUCUUAACCCCAAUCUCUUUAAUUGACAUUUAGUUGCCUGCGGUCAGAUCUCUUUCAAUCCCAGUGUCUACAGGCUCCUGAUCUUGGGCGACUGGGACAGCUAGACCUAUCUCUUCUCAGGCCCACUCUUGCUUUAUUUCCCUUUUUUUGGUGUGUGCAUACUGCUUUAAUUGGGCAAUCAUUAUGCCAUUCUCCCAUUAACGUCGGCGGGGAAGUGAGUAAUCAAACUCUCAAUUGUAAACUUCGGUAAGAUAAGGUCAGCAAGACGUGUGGUCCUGAGAUGGCACCCCGCACCCGCAAGGGAAAAUGACUCUCGGUGGCUCUCAUUGUUUUGGGGCUUGUUUGCGUUGCUGUGCACUUGUAAUGGAAAACGAAUAAAAAUAAAAAUCCCGGGGCCCAUUUUGGCGCGCGCUUGGGAAGUUAAUACCACUGUCCUGGCAGAAUUCCAGCUCAGGUCACUGCAUUCUGCUGGCGGAAGCCGCCUCAUGCGGUUUUCAGUGGAUGUCACUUUCUUCUUUGCAUCCUUCUCAGGGCUCCGUGUGCAGCGCAUUCAACAGCUGGCCCUUCCCCACCUGCAGGAGCUACAGUUCUGCAGAACUCAGAAUGACCCCUGCCUCUUCCCCGGGCAGGAAAUUAACCUGCUCCAAGGACCAGCCACUGAGAUAUUUGCUACAGUCAAGAUCUAUACGAAUGUGUUUUUCUCUGAGUGCCUUUAAGCAGCCACAGAAUCAGAUUACUCUCCUUAAAAGAUUUUUCAAGGAAUCACACAGUUUCUUACAAGUCUCUAAUGCAUAUAUUCCCUCCAUUUGUUUUGUAAUGUUUUGUUAUGCAAACUAAAAAUGUCUCCUUAUCUGAAGUACUUAGAAAUUUAUCUCCCUUCCACCCAUAUAUGCUUAUUGUUGCUGCUUUUGUUUUCACAGAUUUUUUUUCUAGUGUGUAACUCUUUCCCCUAUGAAAUGUAUUGCAUUUUAUGGUGCGAGGAAUGGUUCUAACUAGUUGUUCCCCCAUACAAAUAAUCUUCUGUUCUUAACAAUGUUUACUGAAUGGCAGUUUCCAAUUGUGUGUCUUGCGCACAUGACUUAAACCUGUCUGACCAUCAGCUUUCAGGAUCUGGGGAGAUAGGAAUGACACCUACCUGACAGGCUUAUCCCAAGGAUGGAGUAAGCCAGCACGUGAAAAGGUCCUAGCACGUUGCAUGCAUGGCAGAUAUGUGUUUAAUAAAUGAUGUCUUCCUUUUA